CGUAGGUGGCAAGCGUUGUCCGGAUUUAUUGGGUUUAAAGGGUGCGUAGGUGGCCCUGUAAGUCAGUGGUGAAAUAUCUCAGCUUAACUGAGAGGGUGCCAUUGAUACUGCAGGGCUUGAGUACAGAUGAGGUAGGCGGAAUUGACGGUGUAGCGGUGAAAUGCAUAGAUAUCGUCAAGAACACCGAUAGCGAAGGCAGCUUACCAAGCUGUAACUGACACUGAGGCACGAAAGUGUGGGGGAUCAAACAGGAUUAGAUACCCCUGGUAGUCCACACUGUAAACGCUGAUGACUCGAUGUUGGCGAUACACUGCCAGCGUCCAAGAGCAAUCGUUAAGUCAUCCACCUGGGGAGUACGCCGGCAACGGUG
Molecule: ribosomal RNA, 370 nt
Filed under: uncultured organism
Description: bacterial SSU rRNA
Rfam family: Bacterial small subunit ribosomal RNA
Source: RNAcentral